This 236-nucleotide ribosomal RNA is filed under the name uncultured bacterium. Its description in RNAcentral is "partial 16S ribosomal RNA". It matches the Rfam family "Bacterial small subunit ribosomal RNA", at positions 98 to 334 of the family's 1533-position model. The record is from RNAcentral.
CCGCACGGGUGAGUAACACGUAUCCAACCUGCCGUCUACUCUUGGACAGCCUUCUGAAAGGAAGAUUAAUACAAGAUGGCAUCAUGAGUCCGCAUGUUCACAUGAUUAAAGGUAUUCCGGUAGACGAUGGGGAUGCGUUCCAUUAGAUAGUAGGCGGGGUAACGGCCCACCUAGUCUUCGAUGGACAGGGGUUCUGAGAGGAAGGUCCCCCACAUUGGAACUGAGACACGGUCCAA